RNAcentral lists this ribosomal RNA (253 nucleotides) under uncultured bacterium. Its description in RNAcentral is "partial 16S ribosomal RNA". It matches the Rfam family "Bacterial small subunit ribosomal RNA", at positions 524 to 776 of the family's 1533-position model. The record is from RNAcentral.
UACGGAGGGUGCAAGCGUUAUCCGGAUUCACUGGGUUUAAAGGGUGCGUAGGCGGGCAGGUAAGUCCGUGGUGAAAUCUCCAAGCUUAACUUGGAAACUGCCAUUGAUACUAUCAGUCUUGAAUAUUGUGGAGGUCAGCGGAAUAUGUCAUGUAGCGGUGAAAUGCUUAGAGAUGACAUAGAACACCAAUUGCGAAGGCAGCUGACUACGCAUAUAUUGACACUGAGGCACGAAAGCGUGGGGAUCAAACAGG